CAGCCGCCGCGGGAAUACGUAGGGGGCAAGCGUUGUCCGGAAUUAUUAGGCGUAAAGCGCGCGCAGGCGGUCAUUUAAGUCUGGUGUUUAAUCCCGGGGCUCAACCCCGGAUCGCACUGGAAACUGGGUGACUUGAGUGCAGAAGAGGAGAGUGGAAUUCCACGUGUAGCGGUGAAAUGCGUAGAUAUGUGGAGGAACACCAGUGGCGAAGGCGACUCUCUGGGCUGUAACUGACGCUGAGGCGCGAAAGCGUGGGGAGCAAACAGGAUUAGAGACCCCCGUAGUCCCUGUCUCUUUACAC
Molecule: ribosomal RNA, 301 nt
Filed under: uncultured bacterium
Lineage: Bacteria
Description: partial 16S ribosomal RNA
Rfam family: Bacterial small subunit ribosomal RNA
Source: RNAcentral